GUCCUGCCUUUGGACAGAAGCUUCCUCGAUUUUCCACAGCAGCACAUACAUUAAAAUUAGAACAACAGAGGGAAAAUUAGCAUGGUCUCUAAGCAAGAGUGCCAUGCAAAUUUGUGAAGCAUUUAAUUUUUUA
Small nuclear RNA from Spermophilus dauricus (Daurian ground squirrel), 133 nucleotides. The record is from Ensembl. NCBI's taxonomy places the organism in Eukaryota, Metazoa, Chordata, Mammalia, Rodentia, Sciuridae.